RNAcentral lists this ribosomal RNA (447 nucleotides) under uncultured bacterium. RNAcentral's name for it is "bacterial SSU rRNA". It matches the Rfam family "Bacterial small subunit ribosomal RNA", at positions 355 to 825 of the family's 1533-position model. The record is from RNAcentral.
UCGGGAAUUUUGGGCAAUGGGCGAAAGCCUGACCCAGCAACGCCGCGUGAAGGAUGAAGUAUUUCGGUAUGUAAACUUUGAAAGAAUAGGAAGAAUAAAUGACGGUACUAUUUAUAAGGUCCGGCUAACUACGUGCCAGCAGCCGCGGUAAUACGUAGGGACCAAGCGUUGUUCGGAUUUACUGGGCGUAAAGGGCGCGUAGGCGGCAAUUCAAGUCAUCUGUGAAAUCUCCGGGCUUAACUCGGAACGGUCAGAUGAUACUGCUUUGCUAGAGUGCAGAAGGGGCAAUCGGAAUUCUUGGUGUAGCGGUGAAAUGCGUAGAUAUCAAGAGGAACACCUGAGGUGAAGACGGGUUGCUGGGCUGACACUGACGCUGAGGCGCGAAAGCCAGGGGAGCAAACGGGAUUAGAUACCCAUGUAGUCCCUGAGCGGGCUGGCAAGGCGCAU